ACUCCUGCGGGAGGCAGCAGUGGGGAAUAUUGGACAAUGGGCGCAAGCCUGAUCCAGCCAUGCCGCGUGAGUGAUGAAGGCCCUAGGGUUGUAAAGCUCUUUCACCGGUGAAGAUAAUGACGGUAACCGGAGAAGAAGCCCCGGCUAACUUCGUGCCAGCAGCCGCGGUAAUACGAAGGGGGCUAGCGUUGUUCGGAUUUACUGGGCGUAAAGCGCACGUAGGCGGACUAUUAAGUCAGGGGUGAAAUCCCGGGGCUCAACCCCGGAACUGCCUUUGAUACUGGUAGUCUGGAGUUCGAGAGAGGUGAGUGGAAUUCCGAGUGUAGAGGUGAAAUUCGUAGAUAUUCGGAGGAACACCAGUGGCGAAGGCGGCUCACUGGCUCGAUACUGACGCUGAGGUGCGAAAGCGUGGGGAGCAAACAGGAUUAGAAACCCUGGUAGUCCCA
This 446-nucleotide ribosomal RNA is filed under the name uncultured organism. RNAcentral's name for it is "partial 16S ribosomal RNA". It matches the Rfam family "Bacterial small subunit ribosomal RNA", at positions 335 to 797 of the family's 1533-position model. The record is from RNAcentral.